This 438-nucleotide ribosomal RNA is filed under the name uncultured bacterium. RNAcentral's name for it is "bacterial SSU rRNA". It matches the Rfam family "Bacterial small subunit ribosomal RNA", at positions 338 to 793 of the family's 1533-position model. The record is from RNAcentral.
CCUACGGGGGGCAGCAGUGGGGAAUAUUGCACAAUGGGGGAAACCCUGAUGCAGCGACGCCGCGUGAAGGAAGAAGUAUUUCGGUAUGUAAACUUCUAUCAGCAGGGAAGAAAAUGACGGUACCUGACUAAGAAGCCCCGGCUAACUACGUGCCAGCAGCCGCGGUAAUACGUAGGGGGCAAGCGUUAUCCGGAUUUACUGGGUGUAAAGGGAGCGUAGGCGGUAAUGCAAGUCAGAAGUGAAAGCCCGGGGCUCAACUCCGGGACUGCUUUUGAAACUGUGUUACUAGAUUGCAGGAGAGGUAAGUGGAAUUCCUAGUGUAGCGGUGAAAUGCGUAGAUAUUAGGAGGAACACCAGUGGCGAAGGCGGCUUACUGGACUGUAAAUGACGCUGAGGCUCGAAAGCGUGGGGAGCAAACAGGAUUAGAUACCCCUGUAG